CCGAGUCUUCGCACUCAAACAACCCUUCUGUGGACUUGAAUAAAACCGUUGCCUCGGCGGGCGGCCCCAUCUGUGGGCCGGACAGCUCGGCCGCCUUUAGGUGGGGAAACCUCCUGAGGCGCUGGCGCCAGCCGCUGGCCUAAAACAAAAAACUCUAGUGACCUUCAUUUUCUGAGUUUUAACGCAAGAAAUAAAGUCA
This 199-nucleotide unclassified non-coding RNA is filed under the name uncultured Ascomycota. RNAcentral's name for it is "sequence contains ITS1". The record is from RNAcentral. Lineage: Eukaryota; Fungi; Ascomycota.